Molecule: ribosomal RNA, 301 nt
Filed under: uncultured bacterium
Lineage: Bacteria
Description: partial 16S ribosomal RNA
Rfam family: Bacterial small subunit ribosomal RNA
Source: RNAcentral
CAGUCGCCGCGGUAAAACGAAGGAUGCAAGCGUUACUCGGAAUUACUGGGCGUAAAGCGUGCGUAGGUGGUGGUUUAAGUCCGUUGUGAAAGCCCUGGGCUCAACCUGGGAAUUGCAGUGGAUACUGGGUCACUAGAGUGUGGUAGAGGAUAGUGGAAUUUCCGGUGUAGCAGUGAAAUGCGUAGAGAUCGGAAGGAACAUCUGUGGCGAAGGCGACUAUCUGGGCCAACACUGACACUGAGGCACGAAAGCGUGGGGAGCAAACAGGAUUAGAGACCCCCGUAGUCCCUGUCUCUUAUAA